GGAAGAGAUGAAGGCUCUGCAGCCCCCGCCGCCCGAUUUACGCUUGAGAAAGCGAAGGCGAGAGAGGUCGUCCAGCCCCUGGGGGCCCAGCCCUAGAGAGCGGGGCGCGGGCUGCGGGGCCCGGCGGCCUGGACGGCGGAGCGUUGAAAGCUCCCCCAGGGAUAGGAAGUGCAGCCGAAAUCAACGACUGAGGGUCUGAGCACCUCCCUCAUGACCUCCCUCAUGCAGACAGAGCCCUGGCUCCCAUGUUCACCAUGCUGAGAAAGACCUGCGGGGGACAGCAGGAGGACAGCCGGGGAAUGGGCCCGCACUUGCCCAGAGGCCCUGAUGGUAUCGUCUUGGGAGUGGAGGAACCUGAGGGAAAAGCCCAGGGGCGAGUCAGGGGAGAGCUCUGCCCUGGUGCCCUUGCACGUAUCCACAUGGGCCACAGCUGCACCCGGCUCUCAGCAGAGGGCAUCGCCAUGCUCCUGGGCACAGCCGGGCCCUCUCGCCUCCCUGCAGCUCCUGAUGCCUACCAGGCUCCGCUGAGGUCACCUUGGGCACUUAGCGUGGCUGCAGCUCUUUGCAGCCCCGUGUCCUGUCAUCCAUGUGGCCGUCAUGUGGUCACUUUUGGGCAUUGCCCUGCGCAAGGUCCAUGGGGACUGGGCACCUUUGGCCAUUCUUUCUUUGGUUGUCUGUGCAAGUAAUAAACUAAAUCUGAAAA
This 703-nucleotide long non-coding RNA is filed under the name Pan troglodytes (chimpanzee). Its description in RNAcentral is "lincRNA". Lineage: Eukaryota; Metazoa; Chordata; Mammalia; Primates; Hominidae. The record is from RNAcentral.